RNAcentral lists this ribosomal RNA (497 nucleotides) under uncultured bacterium. Its description in RNAcentral is "partial 16S ribosomal RNA". It matches the Rfam family "Bacterial small subunit ribosomal RNA", at positions 28 to 507 of the family's 1533-position model. The record is from RNAcentral.
GAUGAACGCUGGCGGCGUGCCUAAUACAUGCAAGUCGAGCGAACAGACGAGGAGCUUGCUCCUCUGACGUUAGCGGCGGACGGGUGAGUAACACGUGGAUAACCUACCUAUAAGACUGGGAUAACUUCGGGAAACCGGAGCUAAUACCGGAUAAUAUAUUGAACCGCAUGGUUCAAUAGUGAAAGACGGUUUUGCUGUCACUUAUAGAUGGAUCCGCGCCGCAUUAGCUAGUUGGUAAGGUAACGGCUUACCAAGGCAACGAUGGUUAGCCGACCUGAGAGGGUGAUCGGCCACACUGGAACUGAGACACGGUCCAGACUCCUACGGGAGGCAGCAGUAGGGAAUCUUCCGCAAUGGGCGAAAGCUUGACGGAGCAACGCCGCGUGAGUGAUGAAGGUCUUCGGAUCGUAAAACUCUGUUAUUAGGGAAGAACAAAUGUGUAAGUAACUAUGCACGUCUUGACGGUACCUAAUCAGAAAGCCACGGCUAACUACGUG